This 253-nucleotide ribosomal RNA is filed under the name uncultured bacterium. RNAcentral describes it as "partial 16S ribosomal RNA". It matches the Rfam family "Bacterial small subunit ribosomal RNA", at positions 524 to 776 of the family's 1533-position model. The record is from RNAcentral.
UACAGAGGAGCCAAGCGUUGUCCGGAUUGACUGGGCGUAAAGCGCACGCAGGCGGACGCGCGCGUGGGGUGUGAAAUCUGGCCGCUUAACGGCCAGGGGCCAUCCCAUACGGCGCGUCUGGAGCGAUGCAGAGGUCGGUGGAAUUGCCGGUGUAGUGGUGAAAUGCGUAGAGAUCGGCAGGAACACCCAGGGGGAAACCAGCCGACUGGGCAUCUGCUGACGCUGAGGUGCGAGAGCGUGGGGAGCGAACAGG